RNAcentral lists this ribosomal RNA (3198 nucleotides) under Rhodospirillales bacterium. Its description in RNAcentral is "23S ribosomal RNA". It matches the Rfam family "Bacterial large subunit ribosomal RNA". The record is from RNAcentral. Lineage: Bacteria; Pseudomonadati; Pseudomonadota; Alphaproteobacteria; Rhodospirillales.
UCUCAAGCGAGAUAAGGGCAUUUGGUGAAUGCCUUGGCACCGAGAGGCGAUGAAGGACGUGGCACCCUGCGAAAAGCUUCGGGGAGAUGGGAGCAAUCUUUGAUCCGGAGGUCUCCGAAUGGGGCAACCCACCCCUUUUAGGGGUAUCGGCAGCUGAAUUCAUAGGCUGUCGAGGCGAACCCGGCGAAUUGAAACAUCUCAGUAGCCGGAGGAAAGGACAUCAACAGAGACUCCGCAAGUAGUGGCGAGCGAACGCGGACCAGGCCAGUGGCGCAGUGUUAAGAACCGGAACCGUCUGGAAAGUCGGGCCAUAGCGGGUGACAGCCCCGUACGGGUAGAACGGCAUUGCGUCCUCGAGUAAGGCGGGACCCGUGAAAUCCUGUCCGAACAUGGGGGGACCACCCUCCAAGCCUAAGUACUCCUCGGUGACCGAUAGUGAACCAGUACCGUGAGGGAAAGGUGAAAAGCACCCCAAUGAGGGGAGUGAAACAGACCUGAAACCGAAUGCCUACAAGCAGUGGGAGCCGGCGUCCGCCGGUGACCGCGUACCUUUUGUAUAAUGGGUCAGCGAGUUGAUGUUGCGAGCGAGCUUAAGCCGUUAGGUGGAGGCGUAGCGAAAGCGAGUCUUAAUAGGGCGAAUGAGUUCGCAGGAUCAGACCCGAAACCGGGUGAUCUAGCCAUGGGCAGGCUGAAGGUGGGGUAACACCCACUGGAGGGCCGAACCCACCACCGUUGAAAAGGUGGGGGAUGACCUGUGGCUAGGGGUGAAAGGCCAAUCAAACCCGGCGAUAGCUGGUUCUCCGCGAAAGCUAUUUAGGUAGCGCGUCGUGUCUCACCACCGGGGGUAGAGCACUGGAUGGGCUAGGGGGCCCCACAGGCUUACCAAACCCAACCAAACUCCGAAUACCGGUGAGUGCAAUCACGGCAGACAGACGGUGGGUGCUAAGAUUCAUCGUCAAGAGGGAAACAGCCCAGACCGCCAGCUAAGGUCCCCAAGUCGUGGCUAAGUGGAAAAGGAUGUGGGAAGGCCAAGACAACCAGGAGGUUGGCUUAGAAGCAGCCAUCCUUUAAAGAAAGCGUAACAGCUCACUGGUCUAGUGAAGCCAUCCUGCGCCGAAGAUGUACCGGGGCUCAAGCCACGCACCGAAGCUGCGGGUGUCAGGUAUCAGUUGACAGGUAUCAGGUAUCAGACGGAACCGUGUUUCUGCAGGAGCAGACUGUGAUCCGUUCGUUUGAAGACUUGGAUGCUUUCAAGCGGGCGUAUCGUCUGUCUCUGGAGAUACAUCGGGUCAGUCUGGCUUGGCCGAGAGAAGAACAAAGUGGCCUUGGCGAUCAGAUGCGCCGGUCGAGCAAAUCGAUCUGCGCCAAUCUGGCCGAAGGCCAUGGCAAGCAGGCGUUGUCCGCGAAGGAGUUCAAUCGCUUUCUGUUCAUGGCGAUCGGCUCGGCGGACGAGAUGCGGGUCUGGUGCCGCUAUUGCCUGGAUCUCGGCUAUAUCGACCAGCCCACGUGGCAGCGAUGGAGCGACGCGUAUCGCGAGAUCGCAAAGAUGCUGCAAGGUCUGGCCGGCCGUGUAUUGGGAUCGCGUUCUGAUCCCUGAUCCCUGUCAUCUGAUACCUGACGCGGUAGCGGAGCGUUCCGUAAGCCUGCGAAGGGGGAGCCGCGAGGCCCCCUGGAGGUAUCGGAAGUGCGAAUGCUGACAUGAGUAGCGACAAAGCGGGUGAGAGACCCGCUCGCCGCAAGUCCAAGGGUUCCUCGGCAAGGCUAAUCCGCCGAGGGUGAGCCGGCCCCUAAGGUGAGGGCGAAAGCCGUAGCCGAUGGGAAUGGGGUUAAUAUUCCCCAGCCGGCCGGUGGUGACGGCUGCCAGAAGUUGUCCGGGCUUAUUGGAUUGUCCGGGCGGCGAAGGCGGUCCAGGAAACAACCACCGGCAUGAACGACCGUACCCGAAACCGACACAGGUGGACUGGUAGAGCAUACCGAGGCGCUUGAGAGAACGGUGUUGAAGGAACUCGGCAAAAUGCCCCCGUAACUUCGGGAGAAGGGGGCCCCUGUUCCGGGCAACCGGGAUGGGGGGGCACAGACCAGGGGGUGGCGACUGUUUACUAAAAACACAGGGCUCUGCGAAGCCGUGAGGCGACGUAUAGGGUCUGACGCCUGCCCGGUGCCGGAAGGUUAAGGGGAGGGGUGCAAGCUCCGAACCGAAGCCCCGGUAAACGGCGGCCGUAACUAUAACGGUCCUAAGGUAGCGAAAUUCCUUGUCGGGUAAGUUCCGACCUGCACGAAUGGCGUAACGACUUCCCCGCUGUCUCCAACACCGACUCAGCGAAAUUGAAUUCUCCGUGAAGAUGCGGAGUACCCGCGGUCAGACGGAAAGACCCCGUGCACCUUUACUACAGCUUUGCAGUGGUACGAGGAGAUGGAUGUGUAGGAUAGGUGGGAGGCUUCGAAGCCCAGGCGCCAGCCCGGGUGGAGCCAACCUUGAAAUACCACCCUUCUGUGUUCUCGUAUCUAACCGAGGCCCGUGAACCCGGGUCCGGGACCCUGCAUGGCGGGUAGUUUGACUGGGGCGGUCGCCUCCCAAAGAGUAACGGAGGCGCGCGAUGGUGGGCUCAAGCUGGUCGGAAAUCAGCUGCGGAGUGCAAUGGCAUAAGCCCGCCUGACUGCGAGACCGACAGGUCGAGCAGAGACGAAAGUCGGCCAUAGUGAUCCGGUGGUCCCGCGUGGAAGGGCCAUCGCUCAACGGAUAAAAGGUACGCCGGGGAUAACAGGCUGAUCUCCCCCAAGAGUCCACAUCGACGGGGAGGUUUGGCACCUCGAUGUCGGCUCAUCACAUCCUGGGGCUGGAGCAGGUCCCAAGGGUUCGGCUGUUCGCCGAUUAAAGUGGUACGUGAGCUGGGUUUAGAACGUCGUGAGACAGUUCGGUCCCUAUCUGCCGUGGGUGUUGGAGACUUGAGAGGCGCUGCCCCUAGUACGAGAGGACCGGGGUGGACGGACCUCUGGUGGACCUGUUGUCGCGCCAGCGGCAUAGCAGGGUAGCUAAGUCCGGACGGGAUAACCGCUGAAAGCAUCUAAGCGGGAAACCCCCCUCAAAACAAGGUCUCCCCCGAGAGCCGUGGAAGACCACCACGUCAAUAGGCCGGAUGUGGAAGCGCAGCAAUGCGUGCAGCUGACCGGUCCUAAUCGCUCGACAGGCUUGAGAGC